This 1296-nucleotide ribosomal RNA is filed under the name Escherichia coli. RNAcentral's name for it is "partial 23S ribosomal RNA". It matches the Rfam family "Bacterial large subunit ribosomal RNA", at positions 211 to 1551 of the family's 2925-position model. Lineage: Bacteria; Pseudomonadati; Pseudomonadota; Gammaproteobacteria; Enterobacterales; Enterobacteriaceae. The record is from RNAcentral.
CCGAGGAAAAGAAAUCAACCGAGAUUCCCCCAGUAGCGGCGAGCGAACGGGGAGGAGCCCAGAGCCUGAAUCAGUGUGUGUGUUAGUGGAAGCGUCUGGAAAGGCGUGCGAUACAGGGUGACAGCCCCGUACACAAAAAUGCACAUAUUGUGAGCUCGAUGAGUAGGGCGGGACACGUGGUAUCCUGUCUGAAUAUGGGGGGACCAUCCUCCAAGGCUAAAUACUCCUGACUGACCGAUAGUGAACCAGUACCGUGAGGGAAAGGCGAAAAGAACCCCGGCGAGGGGAGUGAAAAAGAACCUGAAACCGUGUACGUACAAGCAGUGGGAGCCUCUUAAUGGGGUGACUGCGUACCUUUUGUAUAAUGGGUCAGCGACUUAUAUUCUGUAGCAAGGUUAACCGAAUAGGGGAGCCGAAGGGAAACCGAGUCUUAACUGGGCGUUAAGUUGCAGGGUAUAGACCCGAAACCCGGUGAUCUAGCCAUGGGCAGGUUGAAGGUUGGGUAACACUAACUGGAGGACCGAACCGACUAAUGUUGAAAAAUUAGCGGAUGACUUGUGGCUGGGGGUGAAAGGCCAAUCAAACCGGGAGAUAGCUGGUUCUCCCCGAAAGCUAUUUAGGUAGCGCCUCGUGAAUUCAUCUCCGGGGGUAGAGCACUGUUUCGGCAAGGGGGUCAUCCCGACUUACCAACCCGAUGCAAACUGCGAAUACCGGAGAAUGUUAUCACGGGAGACACACGGCGGGUGCUAACGUCCGUCGUGAAGAGGGAAACAACCCAGACCGCCAGCUAAGGUCCCAAAGUCAUGGUUAAGUGGGAAACGAUGUGGGAAGGCCCAGACAGCCAGGAUGUUGGCUUAGAAGCAGCCAUCAUUUAAAGAAAGCGUAAUAGCUCACUGGUCGAGUCGGCCUGCGCGGAAGAUGUAACGGGGCUAAACCAUGCACCGAAGCUGCGGCAGCGACACUAUGUGUUGUUGGGUAGGGGAGCGUUCUGUAAGCCUGUGAAGGUGGCCUGUGAGGGUUGCUGGAGGUAUCAGAAGUGCGAAUGCUGACAUAAGUAACGAUAAAGCGGGUGAAAAGCCCGCUCGCCGGAAGACCAAGGGUUCCUGUCCAACGUUAAUCGGGGCAGGGUGAGUCGACCCCUAAGGCGAGGCCGAAAGGCGUAGUCGAUGGGAAACAGGUUAAUAUUCCUGUACUUGGUGUUACUGCGAAGGGGGGACGGAGAAGGCUAUGUUGGCCGGGCGACGGUUGUCCCGGUUUAAGCGUGUAGGCUGGUUUUCCAGGCAAAUCCGGAAAACC